UUUUUCUUUCUUUUUUUCCUUUUUAGAAAGCGCACCGGGGGACGCCCCAAUCGCGCAGGCUCUGGGACUCGUGAGAGACGUUCCACGAGUCAGCCUUUGUUGGGUCCUGGCUCUGGGACGCGUGAGAAACGUUCCACGAGCCGAAUUUUGUCGGGAGGACCCGGCAACGGGCAGUCAAAAAGAUCUGACUGUGACUUUGGAGGUCAUGUUCGGCUGCCUAUUUAAGUAUAGGCACGGACAAGUGUGCUUAGAUGUGUUAGUGUCUGUUGUCUGUAUUCUGUUUCUGUGUUUGGUAUCCCGGAAGCAGCUAAGGUUAAGCUGCAGUUUGGGCCAGGUACUGAAGGUACCAGGCAUCUGUGGAAAUUGGUUAUAGGAUGCUUUGUCUUGGUCUUGUUUGUCUGGAUUGUUUUCUGUGGUAUUGUCCAGUGUUUUUUUUGACUUUUGUUUCGUGUUUGAAUUUGGACUGACGACCGUGUUUAAAAUCUUGGACUGACGACUGUGUUUGAAAUCAUGAAACUGUUUGCUUUGUUCGUCGAAGAGUUUUACUUGGUCCCCUUAACGCUUAGUGAGUAAGAAACUUAAUUUUGUAGACCCCGCUCUAGUGGCAGUGUGUUG
This 615-nucleotide long non-coding RNA is filed under the name Rattus norvegicus (Norway rat). RNAcentral's name for it is "long non-coding RNA NONRATT021137". Lineage: Eukaryota; Metazoa; Chordata; Mammalia; Rodentia; Muridae. The record is from RNAcentral.